RNAcentral lists this long non-coding RNA (387 nucleotides) under Salvia miltiorrhiza (redroot sage). Its description in RNAcentral is "long non-coding RNA (SMIL_LNC008518)". Lineage: Eukaryota; Viridiplantae; Streptophyta; Magnoliopsida; Lamiales; Lamiaceae. The record is from RNAcentral.
CAAAUAGUAAAUUAACUUGUAUUAUCAUUUUUGUCUAUCCAUUCUAUCACUCAAAAUAAACGCCCCUAAUAAUAUUAUCAUAAAUUGAAGAGAAAAUGAGUUGAUCCAACUUUUUUUAUAAAAUUGUCUACCAUAUAGAAUAUGUGAAAAAAAGUGGGGAAAUGGUGGAAAUAUAUAUUUUUCACCCUUUUCCAUCAAAGAAAACACAUUCUUUGUGUCAAAAGUUAUUUUUGCUGGUAAUAUUUUAUGACCUCAAACCUAUCUCUUUCAAGAAACAUCACCCAAUUGCAGAGCCACCUUAUCAACAUCAAAGUCCUAUCCAAAUAUCAAUCCAACUGCAAGAGAGAGAGAGAGAAGAAACUCCCAUGUGAAAUUUGAUAGUUGAUU